AAGUGCUAUACCGUUGUUUACUAGACAUAGGUUUGUGCUUUUGACUUACUGCAAAGAACUAAGGAUCCUUCAAUCUGUUGGUAAACACGUUUUUACCAAGCAUGUGAAUCAUGCUUAACUGAUUCACAAGUUUGCUAUUUAAGAAUUCUGGUCUAACAGUUCACAAUUGGUUUCUCCUUGGUCUUUACUGGAGAUUAAGGUUUUAAAAGAGUGCAAAAUUCUGCUAACUGUAACUAAGACUGAUGGAAAUAAGGGAUUCAAAUCUAUAUGUGGAAAAGUAGGAGAUAUGUAAGAAAAGUAAGGAAAGGGAGUGCAUCUUGUUGAAGGUAAAAGAAGGUAAUUUUGUCCUAAAUGAGAUGGUUGUUUGGAAAGAAAUGGCUUGGGGCAAAACCUGAAUGCAAAGGAGAAUUGUAGAGGUUUGUGACAGAAAAUCUUUGGAAAUGAAUAUUAAGUGUGGUCAGGAUGGACUAAGAUUGAAAUGAACUUUAGAAAGACACUGGUAUAGAAAGUUGGUUUUCAUUCUGUUCAAAAAGACAAAGUAUUCUUGGAGCGCCUGAAUGGCUUAAUCGGUUAAAGCCUCUGCCUUCAGCUCAGGUCAUGAUCCCAGGGAUUGAGCCCCACAU
Mustela erminea (ermine) is the source of this 623-nucleotide long non-coding RNA. RefSeq lists it as uncharacterized. The transcript has 3 exons. NCBI's taxonomy places the organism in Eukaryota, Metazoa, Chordata, Mammalia, Carnivora, Mustelidae. The record is from RefSeq and is a predicted model, not a curated record.